CUUGGUCAUUUAGAGGAAGUAAAAGUCGUAACAAGGUCUCCGUUGGUGAACCAGCGGAGGGAUCAUUACCGAGUUUACAACUCCCAAACCCCUGUGAACAUACCUUAAUGUUGCCUCGGCGGAUCAGCCCGCGCCCCGUAAAACGGGACGGCCCGCCAGAGGACCCAAACUCUAAUGUUUCUUAUUGUAACUUCUGAGUAAAACAAACAAAUAAAUCAAAACUUUCAACAACGGAUCUCUUGGUUCUGGCAUCGAUGAAGAACGCAGCAAAAUGCGAUAAGUAAUGUGAAUUGCAGAAUUCAGUGAAUCAUCGAAUCUUUGAACGCACAUUGCGCCCGCUGGUAUUCCGGCGGGCAUGCCUGUUCGAGCGUCAUUUCAACCCUCAAGCCCCCGGGUUUGGUGUUGGGGAUCGGCUCUGCCCUUCUGGGCGGUGCCGCCCCCGAAAUACAUUGGCGGUCUCGCUGCAGCCUCCAUUGCGUAGUAGCUAACACCUCGCAACUGGAACGCGGCGCGGCCAUGCCGUAAAACCCCAACUUCUGAAUGUUGACCUCGGAUCUGGUAGGAAUACCCGCUGAACUUAAGCAUAUCAAUAAGCGGAGGA
Molecule: unclassified non-coding RNA, 601 nt
Filed under: uncultured fungus
Lineage: Eukaryota; Fungi
Description: sequence contains ITS1, 5.8S rRNA gene and ITS2
Rfam family: 5.8S ribosomal RNA (bases 220-373)
Source: RNAcentral